Molecule: ribosomal RNA, 277 nt
Filed under: unidentified marine bacterioplankton
Lineage: Bacteria
Also listed under: 1 other name
Description: partial 16S ribosomal RNA
Rfam family: Bacterial small subunit ribosomal RNA
Source: RNAcentral
UCGAGCGGUAACAGGAGAGCUUGCUCUCGCUGACGAGCGGCGGACGGGUGAGUAACGCGUAGGAAUCUGCCCAAUAGUGGGGGAUAGCCCGGGGAAACUCGGAUUAAUACCGCAUACGCCCUACGGGGGAAAGGCCGGGAUCUUCGGACCGGUUGCUAUUGGAUGAGCCUGCGUAAGAUUAGCUUGUUGGUGGGGUAAUGGCCUACCAAGGCGACGAUCUUUAACUGGUCUGAGAGGAUGAUCAGUCACACUGGAACUGAGACACGGUCCAGACUCC